This 534-nucleotide ribosomal RNA is filed under the name Alternaria alternata. Its description in RNAcentral is "eukaryotic LSU rRNA". The stretch from base 198 to 351 matches the Rfam family "5.8S ribosomal RNA". Lineage: Eukaryota; Fungi; Ascomycota; Dothideomycetes; Pleosporales; Pleosporaceae. The record is from RNAcentral.
UCUCCGUAGGUGAACCUGCGGAGGGAUCAUUACACAAAUAUGAAGGCGGGCUGGAACCUCUCGGGGUUACAGCCUUGCUGAAUUAUUCACCCUUGUCUUUUGCGUACUUCUUGUUUCCUUGGUGGGUUCGCCCACCACUAGGACAAACAUAAACCUUUUGUAAUUGCAAUCAGCGUCAGUAACAAAUUAAUAAUUACAACUUUCAACAACGGAUCUCUUGGUUCUGGCAUCGAUGAAGAACGCAGCGAAAUGCGAUAAGUAGUGUGAAUUGCAGAAUUCAGUGAAUCAUCGAAUCUUUGAACGCACAUUGCGCCCUUUGGUAUUCCAAAGGGCAUGCCUGUUCGAGCGUCAUUUGUACCCUCAAGCUUUGCUUGGUGUUGGGCGUCUUGUCUCUAGCUUUGCUGGAGACUCGCCUUAAAGUAAUUGGCAGCCGGCCUACUGGUUUCGGAGCGCAGCACAAGUCGCACUCUCUAUCAGCAAAGGUCUAGCAUCCAUUAAGCCUUUUUUUCAACUUUUGACCUCGGAUCAGGUAGG